This 468-nucleotide ribosomal RNA is filed under the name uncultured bacterium. Its description in RNAcentral is "partial 16S ribosomal RNA". It matches the Rfam family "Bacterial small subunit ribosomal RNA", at positions 28 to 507 of the family's 1533-position model. The record is from RNAcentral.
GACGAACGCUGGCGGCGUGCUUAACACAUGCAAGUCGAACGGAAAGGCCCUGCUUUUGUGGGGUUCUCGAUUGGCGAACGGGUGAGUAACACGUGAGUAACCUGCCCUUGACUUUGGGAUAACUUCAGGAAACUGGGGCUAAUACCGGAUAGGAGCUCCUGCUGCAUGGGGGGGGUUGGAAAGUUUCGGCGGUUGGGGAUGGACUCGCGGCUUAUCAGCUUGUUGGUGGGGUAGUGGCUUACCAAGGCUUUGACGGGUAGCCGGCCUGAGAGGGUGACCGGCCACCAUGGGACUGAGAGACGGCCCAGUCUCCUACGGGCGGCAGUAGUGGGGAAUAUUGCACAAUGGGCGGACGCCUGAUGCAGCAACGCCGCGUGCGUGAUGACGGCCUUCGGGUUGUAAACAGCUUUCGACUGUGACGAAGCGUGAGUGACGGUAAUGGGUAAAGAAGCACCGGCUAACUACGUG